GGUUAAGCGACUAAGCGUACACGGUGGAUGCCCUGGCAGUCAGAGGCGAUGAAGGACGUGCUAAUCUGCGAAAAGCGUCGGUAAGGUGAUAUGAACCGUUAUAACCGGCGAUGUCCGAAUGGGGAAACCCAGUGCAAUUCGUUGCACUAUCGUUAACUGAAUACAUAGGUUAACGAGGCGAACCGGGGGAACUGAAACAUCUAAGUACCCCGAGGAAAAGAAAUCAACCGAGAUUCCCCCAGUAGCGGCGAGCGAACGGGGAGCAGCCCAGAGUCUGAAUCAGCUUGUGUGUUAGUGGAACGGUCUGGAAAGUCCGACGGUACAGGGUGAUAGUCCCGUACACCAAAAUGCACAGGUUGUGAACUCGAAGAGUAGGGCGGGACACGUGGUAUCCUGUCUGAAUAUGGGGGGACCAUCCUCCAAGGCUAAAUACUCCUGACUGACCGAUAGUGAACCAGUACCGUGAGGGAAAGGCGAAAAGAACCCCGGCGAGGGGAGUGAAAAAGAACCUGAAACCGUGUACGUACAAGCAGUGGGAGCACCUUCGGGUGUGACUGCGUACCUUUUGUAUAAUGGGUCAGCGACUUAUAUUCUGUAGCAAGGUUAACCGUAUAGGGGAGCCGCAGGGAAACCGAGUCUUAACUGGGCGUUAAGUUGCAGGGUAUAGACCCGAAACCCGGUGAUCUAGCCAUGGGCAGGUUGAAGGUUGGGUAACACUAACUGGAGGACCGAACCGACUAAUGUUGAAAAAUUAGCGGAUGACUUGUGGCUGGGGGUGAAAGGCCAAUCAAACCGGGAGAUAGCUGGUUCUCCCCGAAAGCUAUUUAGGUAGCGCCUCGUGAAUUCAUCUUCGGGGGUAGAGCACUGUUUCGGCUAGGGGGUCAUCCCGACUUACCAACCCGAUGCAAACUACGAAUACCGAAGAAUGUUAUCACGGGAGACACACGGCGGGUGCUAACGUCCGUCGUGAAGAGGGAAACAACCCAGACCGCCAGCUAAGGUCCCAAAGUCAUGGUUAAGUGGGAAACGAUGUGGGAAGGCACAGACAGCCAGGAUGUUGGCUUAGAAGCAGCCAUCAUUUAAAGAAAGCGUAAUAGCUCACUGGUCGAGUCGGCCUGCGCGGAAGAUGUAACGGGGCUAAACCAUGCACCGAAGCUGCGGCAGCGACACUAUGUGUUGUUGGGUAGGGGAGCGUUCUGUAAGCCUGCGAAGGUGGCCUGUGAGGGUUGCUGGAGGUAUCAGAAGUGCGAAUGCUGACAUAAGUAACGAUAAAGCGGGUGAAAAGCCCGCUCGCCGGAAGACCAAGGGUUCCUGUCCAACGUUAAUCGGGGCAGGGUGAGUCGACCCCUAAGGCGAGGCCGAAAGGCGUAGUCGAUGGGAAACAGGUUAAUAUUCCUGUACUUGGUGUUACUGCGAAGGGGGGACGGAGAAGGCUAUGUUAGCCGGGCGACGGUUGUCCCGGUUUAAGCAUGUAGGCGGAGGUUCCAGGUAAAUCCGGUACCUUUUAACGCUGAGGUGUGAUGACGAGGCACUACGGUGCUGAAGUAACAAAUGCCCUGCUUCCAGGAAAAGCCUCUAAGCAUCAGGUAACAUUAAAUCGUACCCCAAACCGACACAGGUGGUCAGGUAGAGAAUACCAAGGCGCUUGAGAGAACUCGGGUGAAGGAACUAGGCAAAAUGGUGCCGUAACUUCGGGAGAAGGCACGCUGGUGUGUAGGUGAAGUCCCUGCGGACGGAGCUGAGACCAGUCGAAGAUACCAGCUGGCUGCAACUGUUUAUUAAAAACACAGCACUGUGCAAACACGAAAGUGGACGUAUACGGUGUGACGCCUGCCCGGUGCCGGAAGGUUAAUUGAUGGGGUUAUCCGUAAGGAGAAGCUCUUGAUCGAAGCCCCGGUAAACGGCGGCCGUAACUAUAACGGUCCUAAGGUAGCGAAAUUCCUUGUCGGGUAAGUUCCGACCUGCACGAAUGGCGUAAUGAUGGCCAGGCUGUCUCCACCCGAGACUCAGUGAAAUUGAACUCGCUGUGAAGAUGCAGUGUACCCGCGGCAAGACGGAAAGACCCCGUGAACCUUUACUAUAGCUUGACACUGAACAUUGAGCCUUGAUGUGUAGGAUAGGUGGGAGGCUUUGAAGCGUGGACGCCAGUCUGCGUGGAGCCAACCUUGAAAUACCACCCUUUAAUGUUUGAUGUUCUAACGUUGGCCCGUAAUCCGGGUUGCGGACAGUGUCUGGUGGGUAGUUUGACUGGGGCGGUCUCCUCCCAAAGAGUAACGGAGGAGCACGAAGGUUAGCUAAUCCUGGUCGGACAUCAGGAGGUUAGUGCAAUGGCAUAAGCUAGCUUGACUGCGAGCGUGACGGCGCGAGCAGGUGCGAAAGCAGGUCAUAGUGAUCCGGUGGUUCUGAAUGGAAGGGCCAUCGCUCAACGGAUAAAAGGUACUCCGGGGAUAACAGGCUGAUACCGCCCAAGAGUUCAUAUCGACGGCGGUGUUUGGCACCUCGAUGUCGGCUCAUCACAUCCUGGGGCUGAAGUAGGUCCCAAGGGUAUGGCUGUUCGCCAUUUAAAGUGGUACGCGAGCUGGGUUUAGAACGUCGUGAGACAGUUCGGUCCCUAUCUGCCGUGGGCGCUGGAGAAUUGAGGGGGGCUGCUCCUAGUACGAGAGGACCGGAGUGGACGCAUCACUGGUGUUCGGGUUGUCAUGCCAAUGGCACUGCCCGGUAGCUAAAUGCGGAAGAGAUAAGUGCUGAAAGCAUCUAAGCACGAAACUUGCCCCGAGAUGAGUUCUCCCUGAGACUAUAAGUCUCCUGAAGGAACGUUGAAGACGACGACGUUGAUAGGCCGGGUGUGUAAGCGCAGCGAUGCGUUGAGCUAACCGGUACUAAUGAACCGUGAGGCUUAACCUU
RNAcentral lists this ribosomal RNA (2904 nucleotides) under Klebsiella variicola. Its description in RNAcentral is "23S ribosomal RNA". It matches the Rfam family "Bacterial large subunit ribosomal RNA". Lineage: Bacteria; Pseudomonadati; Pseudomonadota; Gammaproteobacteria; Enterobacterales; Enterobacteriaceae. The record is from RNAcentral.